AUUGAACGCUGGCGGCAUGCCUUACACAUGCAAGUCGAACGGCAGCACGGGUUCUUGCACCUGGUGGCGAGUGGCGAACGGGUGAGUAAUACAUCGGAACAUGUCCUGUAGUGGGGGAUAGCCCGGCGAAAGCCGGAUUAAUACCGCAUACGAUCCACGGAUGAAAGCGGGGGACCUUCGGGCCUCGCGCUUUAGGGUUGGCCGAUGGCUGAUUAGCUAGUUGGUGGGGUAAAGGCCUACCAAGGCGACGAUCAGUAGCUGGUCUGAGAGGACGACCAGCCACACUGGGACUGAGACACGGCCCAGACUCCUACGGGAGGCAGCAGUGGGGAAUUUUGGACAAUGGGCGAAAGCCUGAUCCAGCAAUGCCGCGUGUGUGAAGAAGGCCUUCGGGUUGUAAAGCACUUUUGUCCGGAAAGAAAUCCUUGACUCUAAUACAGUCGGGGGAUGACGGUACCGGAAGAAUAAGCACCGGCUAACUACGUG
This 486-nucleotide ribosomal RNA is filed under the name uncultured bacterium. RNAcentral's name for it is "partial 16S ribosomal RNA". It matches the Rfam family "Bacterial small subunit ribosomal RNA", at positions 30 to 507 of the family's 1533-position model. The record is from RNAcentral.